AGCCCUUUGUUGAGAGAAAAGACAAUAUGCCCUUACCAUCGCUAUAGAUUGAGUUUGUGUUGGACGUCCCCCAGGAAGUGCCAGCACCCUCUUCACCGAUUAUCCUCAACGAGGAAAACGUACCGCGGUGUCGGUAGUGUAACUUCCAGGGAAGUCUACGAAACGUGGAACGUGCUGUUGCCGGUUGGGUCAGGGAUUUGUAGAGAUUGCAUACAGCAACACAAUGAAGAAGGGUUCCCUUGGCUCCCAGGCCCAGACAUUUCUAGAGCCUCUCCCUUCAACAUCAACUGGUAGGCACACUGUGCCAGCUCCAUCAAAGGUUGCUACAUGGCAGUGGUAGAAAUUCACUAAGAGGUUAUGGUGGAGAGGUUGUCAUGGCAAGGCGUAACAAAGUUCACUAACUUUGUCCACCAGCAUGAUGGGCUAGAGGUAACAUGUGGUUACAAGAUUGGUACUCCACAGCGCUUUUCCUACAAGACACUGUUGAAGAACAAGAAGGCACAGGACACAACCAAAGUGGCCUUUGCUGUGGAGUA
This is a long non-coding RNA of Lineus longissimus, 536 nucleotides long. RefSeq lists it as uncharacterized. The transcript is spliced from 3 exons. Lineage: Eukaryota; Metazoa; Nemertea; Pilidiophora; Heteronemertea; Lineidae. The record is from RefSeq and is a predicted model, not a curated record.